CAGCAGCCGCGGGAAUACGUAGGGUGCAAGCGUUAAUCGGAAUUACUGGGCGUAAAGCGUGCGCAGGCGGUUAUAUAAGACAGAUGUGAAAUCCCCGGGCUCAACCUGGGAACUGCAUUUGUGACUGUAUAGCUAGAGUACGGCAGAGGGGGAUGGAAUUCCGCGUGUAGCAGUGAAAUGCGUAGAUAUGCGGAGGAACACCGAUGGCGAAGGCAAUCCCCUGGGCCUGUACUGACGCUCAUGCACGAAAGCGUGGGGAGCAAACAGGAUUAGAUACCCUGUAGUCCCUGUCUCUUAUACA
Molecule: ribosomal RNA, 301 nt
Filed under: uncultured bacterium
Lineage: Bacteria
Description: partial 16S ribosomal RNA
Rfam family: Bacterial small subunit ribosomal RNA
Source: RNAcentral